UAGCCGCAAUUAGUGCUAAGGUAGCAUAAUCAUUUGUCUUCUAAAUAAAGACUAGAACAAAAGAUUUAACAUUUUUUUUAUUUUAUUAAAUUUUUAAUUUUAAAAUUUUUUUAAUUGUAAAAAGACAAUUAUUUUCAAAAAAGACGACAAGACCCUAUUGAACUUAACUUAAGUUAUACUGGGGCAGUCAAUCAAUUAAUAUUUUAAUUUAUAUAAUAUAUAACAAAUCUAAUAUUAUUUAACUAAUCAAGUUACCAUAGGGAUAACAGCGCAAUAAUAUUUUAAAGUUCUUAUCUAAAAAAUAGAUUACGACCUCGAUGUUGAAUUAAUUACCUAAUUAAAGCAAGAUUUAAUUAUUAAGGAAGUCUGUUCGACUUUUAAAAAAUUACAUGAUUUGAGUUCAGACCGGUGUAAACCAGGUCGGUUUCUAUCUUUUAAUAGUUUUUUACAGUACGAAAGGACCUAAAAAUAUAAUUAUAUUAUUAUAUUAGCAAAUAAAUGCAUUAGAAUUAGAAUCUAAUCAAAAUU
Molecule: ribosomal RNA, 528 nt
Filed under: Corythalia electa
Lineage: Eukaryota; Metazoa; Arthropoda; Arachnida; Araneae; Salticidae
Description: partial 16S ribosomal RNA
Rfam family: Bacterial large subunit ribosomal RNA (bases 138-436)
Source: RNAcentral